CUAUAAGGUGUGCUGUUCAGAUAUGGAACCACUAUAAGGUGUGCUGUUCAGAUAUGGAACCACUAUAAGGUGUGCUGUUCAGAUAUGGAACCACUAUAAGGUGUGCUGUUCAGAUAUGGAACCACUAUAAGGUGUGCUGUUCAGAUAUGGAACCACUAUAAGGUGUGCUGUUCAGAAGGGUGUUUUUUUUUUUACCGCAAAUUACAUUUUGGCAAAUGUUGAACGUUUUCUUGGCUGCUUCAUUACGCGUGUUGCAUGUUCUGUUAAGAUGCAUUAUCAUAUUGUAAAUGUGAUUUGUGUCAUUCCGAGCACUAUGGGUGGACACCGUCAUGGGCUUAUGCACCCAAUGCAUAUGGUUCAGUAGAAUUUCUCAAAUGGACAGUAAAUUAAAAUCUUCCCGGUCGCAUUGUCUGGCGUCACCUUUCCCAAAUGGGAACUCUGCCCCUAAUUAGCGUUAGCGUAAUGAAUGGAAGCCUGUGGGUAUCUGCUAGAAUGCUUGUCAAUGCUAGCAGAUACCAUAGACUUUCAGUCAUUCCGCUAACACUAGACACUGAGGCAUGCAAAUUGUGGGGAUGACUCUGGGGAAGUAACUAAAGGGCCUCGUUGCCACAAUCCCGAAGUAUCCAUUUAACCCCUAAACCUAAAAUAGCCCUUUUCCUUGUAGGGGCUGGCGAAAUGUCCCCUCUUGUCUGAAUUGUCCUUGUUUUACUCUCCUUGUGAGGACUUCUGGUCCCCACAAGGAGAGUAAAAGCAAAACAAACACAUCUACCUCUCCUCACACACUCACUUUCGCCCUA
Molecule: long non-coding RNA, 797 nt
Organism: Oncorhynchus keta (chum salmon)
Lineage: Eukaryota; Metazoa; Chordata; Actinopteri; Salmoniformes; Salmonidae
Exons: 3
Source: RefSeq, a predicted model, not a curated record